This 259-nucleotide ribosomal RNA is filed under the name uncultured bacterium. RNAcentral describes it as "partial 16S ribosomal RNA". It matches the Rfam family "Bacterial small subunit ribosomal RNA", at positions 524 to 776 of the family's 1533-position model. The record is from RNAcentral.
UACGGAGGGGGUAGACGUUAUCCGGAAUUUAUUUGGGCGUAAAGAGCUCGUAGGCGGUUUUGUCGCGUCUGCUGUGAAAACUGGAGGCUCAACCUCCAGCCUGCAGUGGGUACGGGCAGACUAGAGUGCGGUAGGGGAGAUUGGAAUUCCGGGUGUAGCGGUGGAAUGCGAGAGAUCCGGAAGAACACCGGUGGCGAAGGCGGGCCUGCUGGGCAGUAGCUGGACACUGAGGGCGCGGACAGCGUGGGGAGCAAACAGG